Otolemur garnettii (small-eared galago) is the source of this 193-nucleotide small nuclear RNA. Its record names the gene U2. It matches the Rfam family "U2 spliceosomal RNA". Rfam says of the family: U2 is a small nuclear RNA (snRNA) component of the spliceosome (involved in pre-mRNA splicing). Complementary binding between U2 snRNA (in an area lying towards the 5' end but 3' to hairpin I) and the branchpoint sequence (BPS) of the intron results the bulging out of an unpaired adenosine, on the BPS, which initiates a nucleophilic attack at the intronic 5' splice site, thus starting the first of two transesterification reactions that mediate splicing. NCBI's taxonomy places the organism in Eukaryota, Metazoa, Chordata, Mammalia, Primates, Galagidae. The record is from Ensembl.
ACCACUUCUCAGUAUUUUGGCUAAGAUCAAAUAUAGUAUCUGUUCUUAAAUUAACUUAAUAUUUGAUAUGUCCUCUAUCUGAGGGCAAUAUAGUAAAUGGAGUUUUGGAGCAGGGAAAUGGAAUGGGAGCUUGCUCUGUCUACUCCACGCAUUGACCUGGAAAGGUACAUUCCCGGGGGGUGGGGUGGGGGGA